RNAcentral lists this transfer RNA (71 nucleotides) under Camelus bactrianus (Bactrian camel). It matches the Rfam family "tRNA". From Rfam's summary of the family: Transfer RNA (tRNA) molecules are approximately 80 nucleotides in length. RNAcentral also lists the same sequence under 2 other names. Lineage: Eukaryota; Metazoa; Chordata; Mammalia; Artiodactyla; Camelidae. The record is from Rfam by way of RNAcentral.
GGACGUAUGGCCCAGUGGUAGAGCAUGUGCUUAGCACGCAUGAGGCCCUGGGUUCAGUCCCCAGCACCCCA